RNAcentral lists this ribosomal RNA (522 nucleotides) under uncultured Glomus. RNAcentral describes it as "SSU rRNA". It matches the Rfam family "Eukaryotic small subunit ribosomal RNA", at positions 569 to 1092 of the family's 1831-position model. Lineage: Eukaryota; Fungi; Glomeromycota; Glomeromycetes; Glomerales; Glomeraceae. The record is from RNAcentral.
AGCAGCCGCGGUAAUUCCAGCUCCAAUAGCGUAUAUUAAAGUUGUUGCAGUUAAAAAGCUCGUAGUUGAAUUUCGGGGUCAGCAGGUCGGUCGUGCCACUGGUAUGAACUGGUCUCGCUGAUCCCUCCCUCUUGACGAACUGUGAUGCCAUUAAUUUGGUGUCGCAGGGAAUCAGGACUGUUACUUUGAAAAAAUUAGAGUGUUUAAAGCAGGCUUAAGCUUGAAUACAUUAGCAUGGAAUAAUGAAAUAGGACGUUUGAUCCUAUUUUGUUGGUUUCUAGGAUUGACGUAAUGAUUAAUAGGGAUAGUUGGGGGCAUUAGUAUUCAAUUGUCAGAGGUGAAAUUCUUGGAUUUAUUGAAGACUAACUACUGCGAAAGCAUUUGCCAAGGAUGUUUUCAUUAAUCAAGAACGAAAGUUAGGGGAUCGAAGACGAUCAGAUACCGUCGUAGUCUUAACCAUAAACUAUGCCGACUAGGGAUCGGACGAAGUUAAUUUUAUAAUGACGCGUUCGGCACCUUACG